CCCUAUUUAACAAAAAUCAUAGACUAAAAGUCAUUUAACUCGCGAACGACUUAGUGUUCACCAUAUUCCCUAUGGGAUUCGACCCCAACCUUUGUUGGUUUUUAUAUUUGGCCAUGACCACUUAUACGUCUUAAGGGAUGUGUAUUUUGAGUGUAUCAAGGACCUUUUACGACAAUGACCUUGGAUCUUUAGCUACAACAGGCCUUAAGAAGGGAUUUCUUUUCAGUAGGCUGAACAAAAUAGUCCAUAGAGAAAGAUUACGGUAGGGUCCCAAUGAUUGGAGGCCCUAGCGCUUGCUUCAAGCCUUUACAAGGAGAUUAUAAAACUUCAAAGGGAUGCUUAGGAGAGAAAGAGUUCAGAGCGCCUUGAAGGACUGAUUACUCC
This 384-nucleotide long non-coding RNA is filed under the name Capsicum annuum. Its description in RNAcentral is "long non-coding RNA (CANN_LNC010347)". The record is from RNAcentral. Lineage: Eukaryota; Viridiplantae; Streptophyta; Magnoliopsida; Solanales; Solanaceae.